This 589-nucleotide ribosomal RNA is filed under the name Polaromonas sp. StTD602. RNAcentral's name for it is "bacterial SSU rRNA". It matches the Rfam family "Bacterial small subunit ribosomal RNA", at positions 102 to 687 of the family's 1533-position model. The record is from RNAcentral. Lineage: Bacteria; Pseudomonadati; Pseudomonadota; Betaproteobacteria; Burkholderiales; Comamonadaceae.
ACGGGUGAGUAAUAUAUCGGAACGUGCCCAAUCGUGGGGGAUAACGUAGAGAAAUUUACGCUAAUACCGCAUACGAUCUAAGGAUGAAAGCGGGGGAUCGCAAGACCUCGCGCGAUUGGAGCGGCUGAUAUCAGAUUAGGUUGUUGGUGAGGUAAAAGCUCACCAAGCCGACGAUCUGUAGCUGGUUUGAGAGAACGACCAGCCACACUGGGACUGAGACACGGCCCAGACUCCUACGGGAGGCAGCAGUGGGGAAUUUUGGACAAUGGGCGAAAGCCUGAUCCAGCAAUGCCGCGUGCAGGAAGAAGGCCUUCGGGUUGUAAACUGCUUUUGUACGGAACGAAACGGCUCUUUCUAAUAAAGAGGGCUAAUGACGGUACCGUAAGAAUAAGCACCGGCUAACUACGUGCCAGCAGCCGCGGUAAUACGUAGGGUGCGAGCGUUAAUCGGAAUUACUGGGCGUAAAGCGUGCGCAGGCGGUUAUGUAAGACAGUUGUGAAAUCCCCGGGCUCAACCUGGGAAUUGCAUCUGUGACUGCAUAGCUUGAGUACGGUAGAGGGGGAUGGAAUUCCGCGUGUAGCAGUGAAAU